This is a long non-coding RNA of Mytilus trossulus (common blue mussel), 631 nucleotides long. RefSeq lists it as uncharacterized. NCBI's taxonomy places the organism in Eukaryota, Metazoa, Mollusca, Bivalvia, Mytilida, Mytilidae. The transcript is spliced from 4 exons. The record is from RefSeq and is a predicted model, not a curated record.
CGUGCUUGUUUUUCUAUCGAGUGACCUUCAAGGUGGUGUAGAGAAAGGUUGAUGUUAAAAGAAUGCAUAUUUGUGAUAUAUGUGGUAAAAGCUUCAAAAGAAAAUGGAAUUUAACAAGACACAAUAAGACACAUGAACCGGCAGAUAACCAUCCAAAUCCUCCUUAUAAGUUGUAUACAUGUGAGAAGAAUAACUGUGGAGCGGAAUUUACAACUAAUACUGGUCUUUGGCAAAACAAAAGGAGAGAACACCUGCAUAAAGUUGAGAGGGGACACAAUAUGUGUCCACUGUGUGACAAGAUAUUUGGACAGAAAAUCCAUCUACACGCACAUAUGGCAUGCCACUCGGAGGAAAGAAAGUUUAAAUGUGAUCGUUGUUGAAAACCAAUGAAGCACCAGAGAAGCUUAAAAAGACAUUAUGUUAAAUGUAAAGGUAUUCAAGAGAUCAAACAGUUCGUAUGCAGUGUUUGUAAUAAAGAGUUUCAAUCCAAGCAAUAUCUCAAGGUACAUUGCAAAUCUGCACACCAAAAGCCUGUCUUCCAAUGUGACAGUUGUGGCGAAAUCUUUAAGUGGCAGUCAAGCUACAACCGACAUACAGCUAAUGGUCGAUGUCCUGGAAAGAAGACAGAUGA